This 338-nucleotide long non-coding RNA is filed under the name Hordeum vulgare. RNAcentral describes it as "long non-coding RNA (HVUL_LNC001404)". The record is from RNAcentral. Lineage: Eukaryota; Viridiplantae; Streptophyta; Magnoliopsida; Poales; Poaceae.
AUACUUCGUGAAACGGCAAAACAGUUGCUGCACUAAUGAAGAGACCCAAGAUUAAACCCAAACCCGAGACUAAGUGCUUCUGUAAUGAGGGUAACAGUCACUGAGGCGGAGCAACUCUAGAUACUUGAUAAGAAGGCUGGCAAAAGUCGAAAGAAGUAUAUUUGAUAUACAUGAUGUUGAUGUGUACUUUACUAGUACUCCUAGUAGCAUGAGGGUAUUGGAUACCGGUUCGGUUGCUGAGUGAUUAGUAACACGGAAUGAUAGCUACGACGUAAACGGAGACUAGCUAAAAGCGAGGUGACGAUACGUGUUGGAAGUGUUUCCAAGAUUGAUAUGAU